GGAUGUGAGGGUGAUCUGUCUGUGACAUCUGUCACCCCACUGAUUGCCAGGGUUGAUUUGGCUGAGCUGGCUGGCUAGGUGGGUGCCUCCUUCCUUCCUCACCGCUUCAUGUGCGUCCCUCCCAAAGCUGCGCUCUUGGUCCAAGAGGACGACCAUCUCCGAUAGAGGAGGACCGUUCCUCGGUCAAGGUUAUAGGAGUAGCUGCGCUCCCCUACUAGAACCUCCAAACAAGCUCUCAAGACUGGUAAUAAUGUGGUUAUUUAAGGAAUUCAUGUCAAACAAUUGCUAGAAGAGAUUGAAGC
Molecule: small nuclear RNA, 302 nt
Filed under: Castor canadensis (American beaver)
Lineage: Eukaryota; Metazoa; Chordata; Mammalia; Rodentia; Castoridae
Description: 7SK RNA (ENSCCNG00000004132.1)
Rfam family: 7SK RNA
About the family: 7SK was discovered as an abundant small nuclear RNA in the mid-70s but a possible function has only recently been suggested. Two independent studies have found that 7SK RNA binds the CDK9/cyclin T complex (known as elongation factor P-TEFb).
Source: Rfam by way of RNAcentral